AGUGAACGCUGGCGGUAGGCCUAACACAUGCAAGUCGAACGGCAGCACAGUAAGAGCUUGCUCUUACGGGUGGCGAGUGGCGGACGGGUGAGGAAUACAUCGGAAUCUACUUUUUCGUGGGGGAUAACGUAGGGAAACUUACGCUAAUACCGCAUACGACCUACGGGUGAAAGCAGGGGAUCUUCGGACCUUGCGCGAUUGAAUGAGCCGAUGUCGGAUUAGCUAGUUGGCGGGGUAAAGGCCCACCAAGGCGACGAUCCGUAGCUGGUCUGAGAGGAUGAUCAGCCACACUGGAACUGAGACACGGUCCAGACUCCUACGGGAGGCAGCAGUGGGGAAUAGUGGACAAUGGGCGCAAGCCUGAUCCAGCCAUACCGCGUGGGUGAAGAAGGCCUUCGGGUUGUAAAGACCUUUUGUUGGGAAAGAAAAGCAGCAGGUUAAUACCCCGCUGUUCUGACGGUACCCAAAGAAUAAGCACCGGCUAACUUCGUG
This 492-nucleotide ribosomal RNA is filed under the name uncultured bacterium. RNAcentral's name for it is "partial 16S ribosomal RNA". It matches the Rfam family "Bacterial small subunit ribosomal RNA", at positions 29 to 507 of the family's 1533-position model. The record is from RNAcentral.